GUGAACGCUGGCGGCGUGCCUAAUCCAUGCACGUCGAGCGAACAGACGAGGAGCUUGCUCCUCUGACGUUAGCGGCGGACGGGUGAGUAACACGUGGAUAACCUACCUAUAAGACUGGGAUAACUUCGGGAAACCGGAGCUAAUACCGGAUAAUAUAUUGAACCGCAUGGUUCAAUAGUGAAAGACGGUUUUGCUGUCACUUAUAGAUGGAUCCGCGCCGCAUUAGCUAGUUGGUAAGGUAACGGCUUACCAAGGCGACGAUGCGUAGCCGACCUGAGAGGGUGAUCGGCCACACUGGAACUGAGACACGGUCCAGACUCCUACGGGAGGCAGCAGUAGGGAAUCUUCCGCAAUGGGCGAAAGCCUGACGGAGCAACGCCGCGUGAGUGAUGAAGGUCUUCGGAUCGUAAAACUCUGUUAUUAGGGAAGAACAAAUGUGUAAGUAACUAUGCACGUCUUGACGGUACCUAAUCAGAAAGCCACGGCUAACUACGUG
Molecule: ribosomal RNA, 496 nt
Filed under: uncultured bacterium
Lineage: Bacteria
Description: partial 16S ribosomal RNA
Rfam family: Bacterial small subunit ribosomal RNA
Source: RNAcentral